UGUCACAUAGGUAGCCAAACUCCAAAAUUCUU
Molecule: non-coding RNA, 32 nt
Filed under: Mus musculus (house mouse)
Lineage: Eukaryota; Metazoa; Chordata; Mammalia; Rodentia; Muridae
Source: RNAcentral